UGGGAGAUCGUUCAAUGGUAGGACAUCUGGCUCUGGACCAGAGUAUCGGGGUUCGAAUCCCUGUCUCCCAG
RNAcentral lists this transfer RNA (71 nucleotides) under Chloracidobacterium thermophilum B. Its description in RNAcentral is "Candidatus Chloracidobacterium thermophilum B tRNA". It matches the Rfam family "tRNA". Rfam says of the family: Transfer RNA (tRNA) molecules are approximately 80 nucleotides in length. Their secondary structure includes four short double-helical elements and three loops (D, anti-codon, and T loops). Lineage: Bacteria; Pseudomonadati; Acidobacteriota; Blastocatellia; Chloracidobacteriales; Chloracidobacteriaceae. The record is from Rfam by way of RNAcentral.